GGCAGCCUAUAAUGCAGUCGAACGCUUCUUUUUCCACCGGAGCUUGCUCCACCGGAAAAAGAGGAGUGGCGAACGGGUGAGUAACACGUGGGUAACCUGCCCAUCAGAAGGGGAUAACACUUGGAAACAGGUGCUAAUACCGUAUAACAAUCAAAACCGCAUGGUUUUGAUUUGAAAGGCGCUUUCGGGUGUCGCUGAUGGAUGGACCCGCGGUGCAUUAGCUAGUUGGUGAGGUAACGGCUCACCAAGGCCACGAUGCAUAGCCGACCUGAGAGGGUGAUCGGCCACAUUGGGACUGAGACACGGCCCAAACUCCUACGGGAGGCAGCAGUAGGGAAUCUUCGGCAAUGGACGAAAGUCUGACCGAGCAACGCCGCGUGAGUGAAGAAGGUUUUCGGAUCGUAAAACUCUGUUGUUAGAGAAGAACAAGGAUGAGAGUAACUGUUCAUCCCUUGACGGUAUCUAACCAGAAAGCCACGGCUAACUACGUGCCAGCAGCCGCGGUAAUACGUAGGUGGCAAGCGUUGUCCGGAUUUAUUGGGCGUAAAGCGAGCGCAGGCGGUUUCUUAAGUCUGAUGUGAAAGCCCCCGGCUCAACCGGGGAGGGUCAUUGGAAACUGGGAGACUUGAGUGCAGAAGAGGAGAGUGGAAUUCCAUGUGUAGCGGUGAAAUGCGUAGAUAUAUGGAGGAACACCAGUGGCGAAGGCGGCUCUCUGGUCUGUAACUGACGCUGAGGCUCGAAAGCGUGGGGAGCAAACAGGAUUAGAUACCCUGGUAGUCCACGCCGUAAACGAUGAGUGCUAAGUGUUGGAGGGUUUCCGCCCUUCAGUGCUGCAGCUAACGCAUUAAGCACUCCGCCUGGGGAGUACGACCGCAAGGUUGAAACUCAAAGGAAUUGACGGGGGCCCGCACAAGCGGUGGAGCAUGUGGUUUAAUUCGAAGCAACGCGAAGAACCUUACCAGGUCUUGACAUCCUUUGACCACUCUAGAGAUAGAGCUUCCCCUUCGGGGGCAAAGUGACAGGUGGUGCAUGGUUGUCGUCAGCUCGUGUCGUGAGAUGUUGGGUUAAGUCCCGCAACGAGCGCAACCCUUAUUGUUAGUUGCCAUCAUUCAGUUGGGCACU
Molecule: ribosomal RNA, 1122 nt
Filed under: Leuconostoc pseudomesenteroides
Lineage: Bacteria; Bacillati; Bacillota; Bacilli; Lactobacillales; Lactobacillaceae
Description: bacterial SSU rRNA
Rfam family: Bacterial small subunit ribosomal RNA
Source: RNAcentral